AAAGCCCAAGUGCUGUGUUAGGCGCUCCAGCUGAGACCAGACCUAAUUAAUGCAAGGAAAGGCUGCUGUUUGCACAGCUAUCUAGGUGGUUCUGCCUUUUCAUCUUUGGACUUUGUCCUAAUCAGAGCGGAUGCCGCUUUUUGAUCAGGUUAUUUGAGGGGCUGUGAGUGUCUUCCUUCCCCUUUAUCCUCUUUCAAUACACAUCUAUGGCAAACAUUAGACUGUCUCUACUGACAAUAGGCAUUUUUGCUUACUAUUGACAGAUUAAUUCUAUCAAUGGCUUAAAAUCCUGCUGUGGUUCUCCUGAACUAUUCUGUUUUUCCCUGAGGACUCUGGUUCCUUCCUGUAUGGUCUGCUGUCUUUUGCCGUUUUACCUCUUUGGUAAGUAAAUAUUAUUGUUUUUAUUUUUGGCCCCUGUUUAUAUGUAGUU
Molecule: long non-coding RNA, 430 nt
Organism: Rana temporaria (common frog)
Lineage: Eukaryota; Metazoa; Chordata; Amphibia; Anura; Ranidae
Exons: 3
Source: RefSeq, a predicted model, not a curated record